GAUGAACGCUGGCGGCGUGCCUAAUACAUGCAAGUCGAGCGAACGGACGAGAAGCUUGCUUCUCUGAUGUUAGCGGCGGACGGGUGAGUCACACGUGGAUAACCUACCUAUAAGACUGGGAUAACUUCGGGAAACCGGCGCUAAUACCGGAUGAUAUUUUGAACCGCAUGGUUCAAAAGUGAAAGACGGUCUUGCUGUCACUUAUAGAUGGAUCCGCGCUGCAUUAGCUAGUUGGUAAGGUAACGGCUUACCAAGGCAACGAUGCAUAGCCGACCUGAGAGGGUGAUCGGCCAGCCUGGAACUGAGACACAGUCCAGACUCCUACAGGGGGCAGCAGUAGGGAAUCUUCCGCAAUGGGGGAAAGCCUGACGGAGCAACGCCGCGUGAGUGAUGAAGGUCUUCGGAUCGUAAAACUCUGUUAUUAGGAAAGAACAUAUGUGUAAGUAACUGUGCACAUCUUGACGGUACCUAAACAGAAAGCCACGGCUAACUACGUG
This 497-nucleotide ribosomal RNA is filed under the name uncultured bacterium. RNAcentral's name for it is "partial 16S ribosomal RNA". It matches the Rfam family "Bacterial small subunit ribosomal RNA", at positions 28 to 507 of the family's 1533-position model. The record is from RNAcentral.